RNAcentral lists this ribosomal RNA (357 nucleotides) under uncultured Prevotellaceae bacterium. Its description in RNAcentral is "bacterial SSU rRNA". It matches the Rfam family "Bacterial small subunit ribosomal RNA", at positions 355 to 709 of the family's 1533-position model. Lineage: Bacteria; Pseudomonadati; Bacteroidota; Bacteroidia; Bacteroidales; Prevotellaceae. The record is from RNAcentral.
UGAGGAAUAUUGGUCAAUGGGCGCAAGCCUGAACCAGCCAAGUAGCGUGCAGGAAGACGGCCCUCCGGGUUGUAAACUGCUUUUAGUUGGGAAUAAAGUGCGGGACGCGUCCCGUUUUGUAUGUACCAUCAGAAAAAGGACCGGCUAAUUCCGUGCCAGCAGCCGCGGUAAUACGGAAGGUCCGGGCGUUAUCCGGAUUUAUUGGGUUUAAAGGGAGCGCAGGCGGACCCUUAAGUCAGUUGUGAAAUACGGCGGCUCAACCGUCGGACUGCAGUUGAUACUGGGGGUCCUGAGUUCACACAGGGAUGCCGGAAUUCAUGGUGUAGCGGUGAAAUGCUCAGAUAUCAUGAAGAACCC